RNAcentral lists this ribosomal RNA (301 nucleotides) under uncultured bacterium. RNAcentral's name for it is "partial 16S ribosomal RNA". It matches the Rfam family "Bacterial small subunit ribosomal RNA", at positions 509 to 807 of the family's 1533-position model. The record is from RNAcentral.
CAGUAGCCGCGGGAAUACGUAGGGUGCGAGCGCUAAUCGGAAUUACUGGGCGUAAAGCGUGCGCAGGCGGUUGUGUAAGACAGGUGUGAAAUCCCCGGGCUUAACCUGGGAACUGCGCUUGUGACUGCACAGCUAGAGUAUGGCAGAGGGGGGUGGAAUUCCACGUGUAGCAGUGAAAUGCGUAGAGAUGUGGAGGAACACCGAUGGCGAAGGCAGCCCCCUGGGCCAAUACUGACGCUCAUGCACGAAAGCGUGGGGAGCAAACAGGAUUAGAUACCCCUGUAGUCCCUGUCUCUUAUAC